UAGUGGCGAACGGGUGAGUAACACGUGGNCAAUCUGCCCUGCACUCUGGGACAAGCCCUGGCAAACGGGGUCUAAUACCGGAUACGAGUUUCACAGGCAUCUGUGAUUCUGGAAAGCUCCGGCGGUGCAGGAUGAGCCCGCGGCCUAUCAGCUUGUUGGUGAGGUAACGGCUCACCAAGGCGACAGACGGGUAGCCGGCCUGAGAGGGCAGACCGGCCACACUGGGACUGAGACACGGCCCAGACUCCUACGGGAGGCAGCAGUGGGGAAUAUUGCACAAUGGGCGAAAGCCUGAUGCAGCGACGCCGCGUGAGGGAUGACGGCCUUCGGGUUGUAAACCUCUUUCAGCAGGGAAGAAGCGAGAGUGACGGUACCUGCAGAAGAAGCGCCGGCUAACUACGUGCCAGCAGCCGCGGUAAUACGUAGGGCGCAAGCGUUGUCCGGAAUUAUUGGGCGUAAAGAGCUCGUAGGCGGCUUGUCGCGUCGGUUGUGAAAGCCCGGGGCUUAACCCCGGGUCUGCAGUCGAUACGGGCAGGCUAGAGUUCGGUAGGGGAGAUCGGAAUUCCU
This 567-nucleotide ribosomal RNA is filed under the name Streptomyces sp. 419A12. RNAcentral's name for it is "bacterial SSU rRNA". It matches the Rfam family "Bacterial small subunit ribosomal RNA", at positions 93 to 671 of the family's 1533-position model. Lineage: Bacteria; Bacillati; Actinomycetota; Actinomycetes; Kitasatosporales; Streptomycetaceae. The record is from RNAcentral.